This 220-nucleotide ribosomal RNA is filed under the name uncultured bacterium. Its description in RNAcentral is "partial 16S ribosomal RNA". It matches the Rfam family "Bacterial small subunit ribosomal RNA", at positions 57 to 305 of the family's 1533-position model. The record is from RNAcentral.
GCAAGUCGAACGAGACCUUCGGGUCUAGUGGCGCACGGGUGCGUAACGCGUGGGAAUCUACCCUUAGGUGCGGAAUAACUCAGAGAAAUUUGAGCUAAUACCGCAUAAUGACUCCGGUCCAAAGAUUUAUCGCCUAAGGAUGAGCCCGCGUAAGAUUAGCUAGUUGGUGAGGUAAAAGCUCACCAAGGCGACGAUCUUUAGCCGACCUGAGAGGGUGAUC